This is a long non-coding RNA of Mytilus trossulus (common blue mussel), 282 nucleotides long. RefSeq lists it as uncharacterized. The transcript has 4 exons. NCBI's taxonomy places the organism in Eukaryota, Metazoa, Mollusca, Bivalvia, Mytilida, Mytilidae. The record is from RefSeq and is a predicted model, not a curated record.
GUUUACUGAAAUAUUUGGGCAUGGGUAUCAUUAGUGAGCAGUAUAUCGCUACUGAGUUUCACUGAUAAACCACACAACCCAAUGAUAAAUGCUGGAGCCAUUCUGACCUGUUCUUUACUCAAGCAGAACAUGAAUCUUGCAGAUAGAUUUGAUUAUGUAACAAAGAUGUUUAAAAGAUUGACGGGUGGAGAAUAUCUGGCAUUCAAUAAUGCUGUGUUUUUAUCUGAGAGAGAAACAGCUGACCGCAAUUUUGCUUUGGGAUAUUAUAUGAGAGAAAAUAAG